ACACACAUGCCCAACUUCAAUUGGUAUCCAUACAAAGAUGUCUGAUUAAAGCAUCGAGAUCAUCGGUGUGCUAGCACCUUACAGAUCUCGUUCCUCAGCCUUGGAUCUGAAUCUCUUCUUCUAGAUCUCGAAGAAGAUGAUCGCUGUGCGAACUCAUUCGCGCAUAUCCGAUGGGAUCUGAACUAGAUCACCAAUAAGGGAAGAAAAAUCUUUCUUCUUCUUUUCU
RNAcentral lists this long non-coding RNA (226 nucleotides) under Elaeis guineensis (African oil palm). RNAcentral's name for it is "long non-coding RNA (EGUI_LNC073487)". Lineage: Eukaryota; Viridiplantae; Streptophyta; Magnoliopsida; Arecales; Arecaceae. The record is from RNAcentral.